RNAcentral lists this ribosomal RNA (689 nucleotides) under uncultured Fusobacteriota bacterium. RNAcentral's name for it is "bacterial SSU rRNA". It matches the Rfam family "Bacterial small subunit ribosomal RNA", at positions 28 to 741 of the family's 1533-position model. The record is from RNAcentral. Lineage: Bacteria; Fusobacteriati; Fusobacteriota.
GAUGAACGCUGACAGAAUGCUUAACACAUGCAAGUCGACUCGAGUCUUCGGACUUGGGUGGCGCACGGGUGAGUAACGCGUAAAGAACUUGCCUCUUAGACCGGGACAACAUCUGGAAACGGAUGCUAAUACCGGAUAUUAUGGUUUUUUCGCAUGGAGGAAUCAUGAAAGCUAGAUGCGCUAAGAGAGAGCUUUGCGUCCCAUUAGCUAGUUGGUGAGGUAACGGCCCACCAAGGCAAUGAUGGGUAGCCGGCCUGAGAGGGUGAACGGCCACAAGGGGACUGAGACACGGCCCUUACUCCUACGGGAGGCAGCAGUGGGGAAUAUUGGACAAUGGACCACAAGUCUGAUCCAGCAAUUCUGUGUGCACGAUGACGUUUUUCGGAAUGUAAAGUGCUUUCAGUCGGGAAGAAGUCAGUGACGGUACCGACAGAAGAAGCGACGGCUAAAUACGUGCCAGCAGCCGCGGUAAUACGUAUGUCGCAAGCGUUAUCCGGAUUUAUUGGGCGUAAAGCGCGUCUAGGCGGCAAGGAAAGUCUGAUGUGAAAAUGCGGAGCUCAACUCCGUAUGGCGUUGGAAACUGCCUUACUAGAGUACUGGAGAGGUAGGCGGAACUACAAGUGUAGAGGUGAAAUUCGUAGAUAUUUGUAGGAAUGCCGAUGGGGAAGCCAGCCUACUGGACAGAUACU